CAGCAGCCGCGGGAAUACGAAGGGGGCUAGCGUUGCUCGGAAUGACUGGGCGUAAAGGGCGCGUAGGCGGUCACGAUAGUCAGAUGUGAAAUUCCUGGGCUUAACCUGGGGACUGCAUUUGAUACUGUGUGGCUUGAGUGUGGAAGAGGGUCGUGGAAUUCCCAGUGUAGAGGUGAAAUUCGUAGAUAUUGGGAAGAACACCGGUGGCGAAGGCGGCGACCUGGUCCAUAACUGACGCUGAGGCGCGAAAGCGUGGGGAGCAAACAGGAUUAGAUACCCCAGUAGUCCCUGUCUCUUAUAC
RNAcentral lists this ribosomal RNA (301 nucleotides) under uncultured bacterium. Its description in RNAcentral is "partial 16S ribosomal RNA". It matches the Rfam family "Bacterial small subunit ribosomal RNA", at positions 509 to 807 of the family's 1533-position model. The record is from RNAcentral.